CAGUUGCAAACAGAGGGGGGUGGAACGGUACAUGUAUUUGUACUGAGCCGGCACGGCGUGGACGUUACGGUUCGGUGCAGGCAGUCAUACGGAGAACACGGUU
This is a long non-coding RNA of Thalassophryne amazonica, 103 nucleotides long. RefSeq lists it as uncharacterized. The record is from RefSeq and is a predicted model, not a curated record. NCBI's taxonomy places the organism in Eukaryota, Metazoa, Chordata, Actinopteri, Batrachoidiformes, Batrachoididae. The transcript has 3 exons.